GCCUGGGUGGCUCAGUUGGUUAAGCAUCUGACUCUGGCUCAGGUCAUGAUCUCACAGUUUGUGGGUUUGAGUCCCAUGUCAGGCU
RNAcentral lists this transfer RNA (85 nucleotides) under Felis catus (domestic cat). It matches the Rfam family "tRNA". From Rfam's summary of the family: Transfer RNA (tRNA) molecules are approximately 80 nucleotides in length. The record is from Rfam by way of RNAcentral. RNAcentral also lists the same sequence under 2 other names. Lineage: Eukaryota; Metazoa; Chordata; Mammalia; Carnivora; Felidae.